Molecule: ribosomal RNA, 397 nt
Filed under: uncultured bacterium
Lineage: Bacteria
Description: bacterial SSU rRNA
Rfam family: Bacterial small subunit ribosomal RNA
Source: RNAcentral
UAAUACGUAGGGAGCAAGCGUUGUUCGGAAUUAUUGGGCGUAAAGAGCGCGUAGGCGGUUUGGUGAGUCUGAUGUGAAAUCCUAGGGCUUAACCCUGGAACUGCAUUGGAUACUGCCAGGCUUGAGUGCGGGAGAGGAGAGUGGAAUUCCCAGUGUAGGGGUGAAAUCCGUAGAUAUUGGGAAGAACACCGGUGGCGAAGGCGGCUCUCUGGACCGCAACUGACGCUGAGGCGCGAAAGCUAGGGGAGCAAACGGGAUUAGAUACCCCGGUAGUCCUAGCCGUAAACGAUGGGCACUAGGUGUGGGAGGCAUCAACCCCUUCUGUGCCGCAGCUAACGCAUUAAGUGCCCCGCCUGGGGAGUACGGUCGCAAGACUAAAACUCAAAGGAAUUGACGG